AUGCACCGUGCUACGAUCAUCGCGCUGAUCUGCUGCCUCGUGGCCGGCGGCAGGGCGCGCGCACAGCCGUUCGACUACCCGGCGGCGAGGCUCUCCACGACCUGGGCCAACACGGACGCCGCCCUGCCGCACCACGUCGUCUACACCGACGGCUCCGUGGCGCGGGCCGCCCUGCUGCGGCUCAACCCGGCGGGCCUCGGCCCCUCCUACGCCUUCGGCUUCUUCUGCACCGCCAGUCAACCGCGCGGCAACGGCCCCGCGGCCCCGUGCACGGAGUUCCUGCUCGGCGUCGCCGUCGUCUACUGCAACAGCGGCGCGGGCAUGACGUUCGUCACGGCCGGCGUCCCGCAGGUCGUCUGGUCGGCCAACCGCGGCAGCCCCGUCAGUGAGGGCGCCACCACGGAGCUCACGCCGGAGGGCGACCUGGUUCUCAGGUCGGGCCCCGGCGGAGCGGUCUUGUGGUCCACCGGCACCAAGGGCCGGUCCGUCGCCGGGGCGCGCAUCGGCAGCGACGGCAACCUGGUGCUGUUCGACGGGCGCAACGCCACGGUGUGGCAGUCGUUCGACCACCCCACGAACGCGCUCCUCGUCGGGCAGUCUCUGAAGCACGGCGCGCGGCUCACCGCCAACGCGUCGACGGCGGACUGGCGCGACGGCAGGCUCUACCUCGCCGUGGACGACGAUGGACUGAACGCCUACGUCAACGCCACGCCGCCGCAGCGCUACUACCACCUCAGCCUCAGCGAGACCGCAUCCGGCGCCUACGCGACGUACACCAACGGCAGCCUCACGGUGUCCGCCCGGCCCGGUGCGCCGCCGCUGGCCGCCAUCCAGCUGCCCACCGUGGGCGCCGGCACGGUGCAGUACAUGCGGCUGGAGCACGACGGCCACCUCCGGAUCUACGAGUGGCGCUCGGGCUGGGCGCCGGUGUACGACGUGCUCAAGUCUGCUACGACCUGA
Molecule: ribosomal RNA, 960 nt
Filed under: Triticum aestivum (bread wheat)
Lineage: Eukaryota; Viridiplantae; Streptophyta; Magnoliopsida; Poales; Poaceae
Description: partial small subunit ribosomal RNA
Source: RNAcentral